Molecule: ribosomal RNA, 429 nt
Filed under: bacterium
Lineage: Bacteria
Description: partial 16S ribosomal RNA
Rfam family: Bacterial small subunit ribosomal RNA
Source: RNAcentral
UAGGGAAUCUUCGGCAAUGGGGGCAACCCUGACCGAGCAACGCCGCGGGAGUGAAGAAGGUUUUCGGAUCGUAAAGCUCUGUUGUAAGAGAAGAACGUGUGAGAGAGUGGAAAGUACACACAGUGACGGUAACUUACCAGAAAGGGACGGCUAACUACGUGCCAGCAGCCGCGGUAAAACGUAGGUCCCGAGCGUUGUCCGGAUUUAGUGGGCGUAAAGCGAGCGCAGGCGGUUUAAUAAGUCUGAAGUUAAAGGCAGUGGCUUAACCAUUGUUCGCUUUGGAAACUAUUAAACUUGAGUGCAGAAGGGGAGAGUGGAAUUCCAUGUGUAGCGGUGAAAUGCGUAGAUAUAUGGAGGAACACCGGUGGCGAAAGCGGCUCUCUGGUCUGUAACUGACGCUGAGGCUCGAAAGCGUGGGGAGCAAACAGG